GUCUACAGCCUUACCACCCUGAACACGCCCAGUAUCAUCUGAUCUUGGAAGCUAAGCAUGUCAGGCCUGGUUAGUACUUGGAUGGAAGAAGUAUGUCUGUGAGAAUUACAACUCAUGGACU
Ochotona princeps (American pika) is the source of this 121-nucleotide ribosomal RNA. NCBI's taxonomy places the organism in Eukaryota, Metazoa, Chordata, Mammalia, Lagomorpha, Ochotonidae. The record is from Ensembl.